AUUCUUAAUCGCAAAGAAUCAGUAGCUAAUUACAAAUAAUCUAGUUGAUUAUUGUCUCUGUUAGACUUUAGAUGAUCAACAAUGUGUUACAACCUUUAAACUUGAUAACGAGUUAUGAUUAGGCUGUUGAAUUUACGUGUAUAGUUGCAUUGCGCAGGCUAAAGAUGUUACCAAAAAAGAUAGCUUAUGUGUAUAUCCAAGCAGUCCAUCAUCUGCUCUUGGCAUAGUUGCUGCAUUAUUUAUACUAGCUGAGCAAAUCGUUAUUAGUGCUGCUACUUACUGCUUUUGCUGCUGUGGACUACGUUGUUCUGCUCGUUGCACUGUUAUAAGCUCAUUACUCUUCUUCAUCGGCUCCUGGUUCACUUUUCUGGUAACGUUCAUUGGAUUGAUAUAUACAGCGAUCCUUGACAACACCAGUUUCCUAGCAAAAACCUAUACCAGAGGAAACAGUGACAGUUGUGGAGUGGGCAAUGAGAAUUUGUUCCUUGGGGCUGCAUAUUGGUGCAUAAUUAGCACCGUUGUAGGUCUGGUAUCAUAUGCUUUCUGGGCGUGUGGUGCUGCUAAAACAAACAAUAAUAACCAAGGCCGCGCUUUUGAUCAUGAGCAUGGUGUUGCUAUGGGAGAACCUCAGAUGCAGCAACCGAAGGAAUAACUUAGAUAAUUAAUGUGAUGCUGGCUGAGUGGUUGGUAUCCUGUAUAGCUCAAGAUCAAUCCAAGGGUAGUAAAAUUGUUGUAAGCUGUAAAGAUCAUUUCAUCUUUUAUCCUAUUUGUAGUUUAGCAAAUGUUAUAUCAAAUAGAAUGUUGAACAAAUCUCUUACAGUCUUUACUUAUCAAAUGACAUACAACAUUUUUUUUCCUACA
Molecule: long non-coding RNA, 861 nt
Organism: Chenopodium quinoa (quinoa)
Lineage: Eukaryota; Viridiplantae; Streptophyta; Magnoliopsida; Caryophyllales; Amaranthaceae
Exons: 2
Source: RefSeq, a predicted model, not a curated record